AACGAACGCUGGCGGCAGGCCUAACACAUGCAAGUCAAACGGCCCUUCGGGGCAGUGGCGCACGGGUGCGUAACACGUGGGAAUCCACCCUUGGGUGCGGAAUAACUUCGGGAAACCGGCGCUAAUACCGCAUAAUGACUUCGGUCCAAAGAUUUAUCGCCAAAGGAUGAGCCCGCGCUAGAUUAGGUUGUUGGUGAGGUAAUGGCUCACCAAGCCUACGAUCUAUAGCUGGUUUGAGAGGAUGAUCAGCCACACUGGUACUGAGACACGGACCAGACUCCUACGGGAGGCAGCAGUGAGGAAUAUUGCGCAAUGGGGGAAACCCUGACGCAGCCAUGCCGCGUGAGUGAAGAAGGCCCUAGGGUUGUAAAGCUCUUUCAGAUGCGAAGAUAAUGACGGUAACAU
Molecule: ribosomal RNA, 405 nt
Filed under: uncultured bacterium
Lineage: Bacteria
Description: bacterial SSU rRNA
Rfam family: Bacterial small subunit ribosomal RNA
Source: RNAcentral